UGGGAAUUUUGGACAAUGGGCGCAAGCCUGAUCCAGCAAUGCCGCGUGCAGGAAGAAGGCCUUCGGGUUGUAAACUGCUUUUGUCAGGGAAGAAAUCCUUUGGGGUUAAUACCUCGAAGGGAUGAUGGUACCUGAAGAAUAAGCACCGGCUAACUACGUGCCAGCAGCCGCGGUAAUACGUAGGGUGCGAGCGUUAAUCGGAAUUACUGGGCNUAAAGCGUGCGCAGGCGGCUUUGCAAGACAGAGGUGAAAUCCCCGGGCUCAACCUGGGAACUGCCUUUGUGACUGCAAGGCUAAGUACGGCAGAGGGGGGAUGGAAUUCCGCGUGUAGCAGUGAAAUGCGUAGAUAUGCGGAGGAACACCGAUGGCGAAGGCAAUCCCCUGGGGCCUGUACUGACGCUCAUGCACGAAAAGCGUGGGGAGCAAAACAGGAUUAGAUACCCUGGUAGUCCACGCCCUAAAACGAUGUCAACUGGUUGUUGGACGGCUUGCUGUUCAGUAACGAAGCUAACGCGUGAAGUUGACCGCCUGGGGAGUACGGCCGCAAGGUUGAAACUUAAAGGAAUUAACGGGGGUC
RNAcentral lists this ribosomal RNA (577 nucleotides) under uncultured bacterium. RNAcentral describes it as "partial 16S ribosomal RNA". It matches the Rfam family "Bacterial small subunit ribosomal RNA", at positions 356 to 921 of the family's 1533-position model. The record is from RNAcentral.